RNAcentral lists this transfer RNA (62 nucleotides) under Agenioideus sp. SJW-2017. RNAcentral describes it as "tRNA-Val". The record is from RNAcentral. Lineage: Eukaryota; Metazoa; Arthropoda; Insecta; Hymenoptera; Pompilidae.
AAAAUUUUAGUUUAUAUAAAAUAUUUCAUUUACAAUGAAAAGAAUCAGUUAAGAAAAUUUUA